UGGGCCCUUGCGGAAGAGAGCGGUAGAGUAGCAUCCACCCACAAGAUGAGUCUCUAACUGUUGGGUCUGCAACGGACACUGAGUGGCAGGCUGUGAGAGCUCCCGGUCCCAGCCUCCAGAUGCCCUUCGGAAUGAGCCUCCCCUUGUUCAUUUUCACAGAUAAGAGAAUCGAAGCUACGACAAGUAGAUGAAGGGGUCAGCAAGGGAAGGAGGCUCCAGAGACCCACGAGCUACUGGAUUGCACUCAGAGACAUCUCGAACUCGCGUUUAACCUUCCGCGGACACAGAUGGCUCCACAGAGAAACGUGUAUGGACGCGUGUGCAGUUGGGUCACCAUAUGCACUUAUGUCUCCUUGCCGUGGCCAUUAAGAGGGCCGGAGGGACUCGGGCAACGAGAACACCAAGCACCCAGAUACCCCACUCUGAAGGAGGGAGCAGAACUCCUUGCUCCUGAAGUGCGCGCUGUGCGUGGAGAUUCCUUCCAGGCAGGACAGUCAGAAAAGGGGGAAAAGGAGAAACUUCGCAGUGGAGAAACUGACAAAAGGCUACUGGCUGGGAAAAGCAUCAGACAAAUUCCCCUGGAGAAGCAGACUGCAAUACACCUGACCGGUACUCCUCAAAAUCCCAGACAAGGAAAGUCGGAGAUCGUCAGGGCCAAGACUACUGAACCUAGAGACAUGAUAACUGCACACAGUGAGGUUCCCUGGAAGAGGUCCUGGAACAGAAAAAGGAGAUCCGGGCAAAGAAGAAAACCGGAAAGGAGUGUAUAAACUUUAGUUGACAACAAUGUAUCAAAAAUUAAAAA
Acinonyx jubatus (cheetah) is the source of this 805-nucleotide long non-coding RNA. RefSeq lists it as uncharacterized. The transcript is spliced from 4 exons. Lineage: Eukaryota; Metazoa; Chordata; Mammalia; Carnivora; Felidae. The record is from RefSeq and is a predicted model, not a curated record.